UGGGGAAUAUUGCACAAUGGGCGCAAGCCUGAUGCAGCCAUGCCGCGUGUGUGAAGAAGGUCUUCGGAUUGUAAAGCACUUUAAGUUGGGAGGAAGGGCAUUAACCUAAUACGUUAGUGUUUUGACGUUACCGACAGAAUAAGCACCGGCUAACUCUGUGCCAGCAGCCGCGGUAAUACAGAGGGUGCAAGCGUUAAUCGGAAUUACUGGGCGUAAAGCGCGCGUAGGUGGUUUGUUAAGUUGGAUGUGAAAUCCCCGGGCUCAACCUGGGAACUGCAUUCAAAACUGACUGACUAGAGUAUGGUAGAGGGUGGUGGAAUUUCCUGUGUAGCGGUGAAAUGCGUAGAUAUAGGAAGGAACACCAGUGGCGAAGGCGACCACCUGGACUAAUACUGACACUGAGGUGCGAAAGCGUGGGGAGCAAACA
Molecule: ribosomal RNA, 427 nt
Filed under: uncultured bacterium
Lineage: Bacteria
Description: partial 16S ribosomal RNA
Rfam family: Bacterial small subunit ribosomal RNA
Source: RNAcentral